GGGGUUGUGACUCAGAGGUAGAGUGCUCACCUAGCAUGCGUGAGGCACUGGGUUCAAUCCUCGGCACCACA
This 71-nucleotide transfer RNA is filed under the name Marmota monax (woodchuck). RNAcentral's name for it is "tRNA.Ala". Lineage: Eukaryota; Metazoa; Chordata; Mammalia; Rodentia; Sciuridae. The record is from RNAcentral.